RNAcentral lists this ribosomal RNA (468 nucleotides) under uncultured bacterium. RNAcentral describes it as "partial 16S ribosomal RNA". It matches the Rfam family "Bacterial small subunit ribosomal RNA", at positions 28 to 507 of the family's 1533-position model. The record is from RNAcentral.
GACGAACGCUGGCGGCGUGCUUAACACAUGCAAGUCGAACGGAAAGGCCCUGCGUUUGUGGGGUGCUCGAGUGGCGAACGGGUGAGUAACACGUGAGUAACCGGCCCUUGACUUUGGGAUAACUUCAGGAAACUGGGGCUAAUACCGGAUAGGAUCUCCUGCUGCAUGGUGGGGGGUGGAAAUUCUCGGCGGUAGGGGAUGGACGCGCGGCUUAUCAGCUUGUUGGUGGGGUAGUGGCUUACCAAGGCUUUGACGGGUCGCCGGCCUGGGAGGGUGACCGGGGACAUUGGGACUGAGAGACGCACCAGAGGCCUACGGGAGGCAGCAGUGGGGAAUCUUGCCCAAUGGGCGGAAGCCGGAUGCAGAAGCGCCGCGGGCGGGAUGACGGCCUUCUGGUUGUAAACCGCUUUCGCCUGUGACGCAGCGUGAGUGACGGUAAUGGGUAAAGAAGCACCGGCUAACUACGUG